Molecule: ribosomal RNA, 902 nt
Filed under: Stagnicola perplexa
Lineage: Eukaryota; Fungi; Basidiomycota; Agaricomycetes; Agaricales; Mythicomycetaceae
Description: partial large subunit ribosomal RNA
Rfam family: Eukaryotic large subunit ribosomal RNA
Source: RNAcentral
CCCUAGUAACUGCGAGUGAAGCGGGAAAAGCUCAAAUUUAAAAUCUGGCAGUCUUUGGCUGUCCGAGUUGUAAUCUAGAGAAGUGUUACCCGCGCUGGACCGUGUACAAGUCUCCUGGAAUGGAGCGUCAUAGAGGGUGAGAAUCCCGUCUUUGACAUGGACUACCAGUGCUUUUGUGGUGCGCUCUCAAAGAGUCGAGUUGUUUGGGAAUGCAGCUCAAAAUGGGUGGUAAAUUCCAUCUAAAGCUAAAUAUUGGCGAGAGACCGAUAGCGAACAAGUACCGUGAGGGAAAGAUGAAAAGAACUUUGGAAAGAGAGUUAAACAGUACGUGAAAUUGCUGAAAGGGAAACGCUUGAAGUCAGUCGCGUCGACCAGGAAUCAACCUUGCUCUUUUGCUGGGCGUACUUCCUGUUUGACGGGUCAGCAUCAAUUUUGACCGAUGGAUAAAGGUCAAGGGAAUGUGGCAUCUUCGGAUGUGUUAUAGCCCUUGGUUGUAUACAUCGGUUGGGAUUGAGGAACUCAGCACGCCGCAAGGCCGGGUUUUUAACCACGUUCGUGCUUAGGAUGCUGGCAUAAUGGCUUUAAUCGACCCGUCUUGAAACACGGACCAAGGAGUCUAACAUGCCUGCGAGUGUUUGGGUGGAAAACCCGAGCGCGUAAUGAAAGUGAAAGUUGAGAUCCCUGUCGUGGGGAGCAUCGACGCCCGGACCAGACCUUCUGUGACGGCUCCGCGGUAGAGCAUGUAUGUUGGGACCCGAAAGAUGGUGAACUAUGCCUGAAUAGGGUGAAGCCAGAGGAAACUCUGGUGGAGGCUCGUAGCGAUUCUGACGUGCAAAUCGAUCGUCAAAUUUGGGUAUAGGGGCGAAAGACUAAUCGAACCAUCUAGUAGCUGGUUCCUGCCG